Molecule: long non-coding RNA, 1943 nt
Organism: Pseudophryne corroboree (corroboree frog)
Lineage: Eukaryota; Metazoa; Chordata; Amphibia; Anura; Myobatrachidae
Exons: 3
Source: RefSeq, a predicted model, not a curated record
ACGCGCCCACUGUGAUCAUUACAUCUAAGCUCGGAGACAACAGCACAUUAGGAGAUUGGAAGGGAGAUGCGGUCCAGGUUACCAGGACACCUCCGGCGGCUGGUGCACACCGCAGUGAGGCACAUCCGCCCCGAACAGCAGAGGGUCGGUAACUGUGCACGGGCGCGCAGCCGACCACAGACACUCUCGCUGCAAAGGAAUUUUCCACCCAAGGGAACGCGGUGUUCACAUUCUCUCUGCAUUCUGACAGUUUAUUUUUGAAGCCGCAUUCAUACGGACACAUUAGAACGGAGAAAGGACCUUAAUUAUCUCUGAAGGUGUAAGUAUAAGAUGACGGCCAAAUAGAAUGGACACGCCUUUCUUUUUACAAGUGGGACCCCGAACGUCCACACACCGCUGCACCAAGAGGUUCUGGAACCUUGGUGCACUGAUGAUGAGGAUGAUGAUGAUCAGCAACCUUUUCUGAUUGACCGACUACAUGUUGAUCCUUCCCACAGAUACUUUAACUGUUAUUAGUAUGGGUUUUGCGGUCUAUUCGCAUUUUCACGUUUUUUUUUGCAAUCUUUAACAAAAAAUCAGCUUUGCCAUGUGACUUCAUUAUUUAAACUUAAUUAGUUCUGUACAUUUAUUUUGUUUUUGAGUCUGUAUUCUAUUUUACUGUACAUGGUAAGUGUCACUAUUAAGAGUAGAGUAAUUUGUGUUGGAAGCAGAGCACUCAGUGCUAUCUCCCUUCCGUUUACAUGCCGAGUACUGGCAAAGUCACGUCACUGCCAUGACCUCCGACCUGGAUCCCAAGUGCACUACCGUGCAUGCUUGGCAUCUCCACAGGUCUUAUCUGUCUGCCCUCCUUAGGAGGAAGACUUUCCCCUAAGCAACUUGCACAUACCAGAGACUGUGACACACAAUAGAGGCUCCACAGACCCCACUGUGUGACCACCGAUUACAGCAAGAAAGCCACUGCCAUCUCUGCACGUAUAUAAGGGUGUGCUACACCAUCCAUGCUCACCAUUUACAUUAACCUGGAAGCUCCUGGUUGGAUCUGUCUCUUAGUACUGUAUGUGCAUACUUGCAUUAUCCCUAUAAUGAAUCCAGAUUAUUAAUAUCUGGCAUGUGGACUGACCUCCAUCGGACACCGCUGGCACCUAUCAACACUAUAGGUUAUGCCAGUACAUUUAUCAUUUACUACUUUAACCAUGCCAAGCCAUAUCUUCUGAUGCAACCUGGUACAUAUAAUAAUGUUUUCUCCUGAUGUAAAACUGAGUUUUGACAUAAAAUUAUGUGGAACUCUACAUCAGCCAUUAAAUAGUGAAUUGCAGCUAGUAAAAAUAGGAAAACUGUGAUCUCAGCCUUGUGGUAUUUUUUCUGUUUUCUGAUUUUUAUUAAGGCAGCUUUAACCAAUAUUUUCAAAAACUGUGUACAGCGAUAAAUCAAUACGCUCAGCUCCAUAGCUGCUUAGUAAGUAUAAUGUGACAGUCCUCGUAUCAUGAAAUAUCCUACUCUCACUUUUUAAAAAUUCACUGUUUAUCCCUAAAGGUAUAGUAAGACCUAAAGGUUUAUUUUCUUAUGUUUACAAUAUAGAGCAUAAAUUUAAAGAACUUGUCAUUGCAAAACAAAACUGGCAUACCUAUUGUACUGUAAAUCGCUCCUUUCCUUUUUCUUUCGUAUCAUAUAAUAUACUCAUCUUACGGUCAGCUGAGAUGUGUUAAAGAAUUUGCAACUGUAUUGUAUAUUUUGGAAGAAUAUAAAUGUACCACUAAAAAGUUUCUUGUGAUGUAACUUUAACAUGUUUAGUUGUGUAGCUUGUAGUAUGCAGCAUGUAAGUUAACAAGCUAUUUACUUCUGUAAUAUACACGUAUUGCACACAGCAGGCUAGUACAGGUUGAGUAUCCCAUAUCCAAAUAUUCCGAAAUACGGAAUAUUCCGAAAUACAGACUUUUUUGAGU